GUGCCAGCCGCCGCGGUAAUACGGAGGGAGCGAACGUUGUUCGGAAUCACUGGGUGUAAAGGGUGCGUAGGCGGCCUUGUAUGUCGGAGGUGAAAUCUACCGGCUCAACCGGUCAAAUUGCCUCCGAAACUGCUUGGCUUGAGUCCGGAAGGGGAGGGUGGAAUUCCUGGUGUAACGGUGAAAUGUGCAGAUAUCAGGAGGAACACCGGUGGCGAAGGCGGCCCUCUGGUCCGGUACUGACGCUGAGGCACGAAAGCCAGGGGAUCAAACGGGAUUAGAAACCCCAGUAGUCC
Molecule: ribosomal RNA, 293 nt
Filed under: uncultured bacterium
Lineage: Bacteria
Description: partial 16S ribosomal RNA
Rfam family: Bacterial small subunit ribosomal RNA
Source: RNAcentral